AGUGAACGCUGGCGGUAGGCCUAACACAUGCAAGUCGAACGGCAGCACAGUAAGAGCUUGCUCUUACGGGUGGCGAGUGGCGGACGGGUGAGGAAUACAUCGGAAUCUACUUUUUCGUGGGGGAUAACGUAGGGAAACUUACGCUAAUACCGCAUACGACCUACGGGUGAAAGCAGGGGAUCUUCGGACCUUGCGCGAUUGAUUGAGCCGAUGUCGGAUUAGCUAGUUGGCGGGGUAAAGGCCCACCAAGGCGACGAUCCGUAGCUGGUCUGAGAGGAUGAUCCGCCACACUGGAACUGAGACACGGUCCAGACUCCUACGGGAGGCAGCAGUGGGGAAUAUUGGACAAUGGGCGCAAGCCUGAUCCAGCCAUACCGCGUGGGUGAAGAAGGCCUUCGGGUUGUAAAGCCCUUUUGUUGGGAAAGAAAAGCAGCAGGUUAAUACCCCGCUGUUCUGACGGUACCCAAAGAAUAAGCACCGGCUAACUUCGUG
This 492-nucleotide ribosomal RNA is filed under the name uncultured bacterium. Its description in RNAcentral is "partial 16S ribosomal RNA". It matches the Rfam family "Bacterial small subunit ribosomal RNA", at positions 29 to 507 of the family's 1533-position model. The record is from RNAcentral.